AUUGAACGCUGGCGGCAGGCCUAACACAUGCAAGUCGAGCGGAUGAAGGGAGCUUGCUCCUGGAUUCAGCGGCGGACGGGUGAGUAAUGCCUAGGAAUCUGCCUGGUAGUGGGGGAUAACGUCCGGAAACGGGCGCUAAUACCGCAUACGUCCUGAGGGAGAAAGUGGGGGAUCUUCGGACCUCACGCUAUCAGAUGAGCCUUGGUCGGAUUAGCUAGUUGGUGGGGUAAAGGCCUACCAAGGCGACGAUCCGUAACUGGUCUGAGAGGAUGAUCAGUCACACUGGAACUGAGACACGGUCCAGACUCCUACGGGAGGCAGCAGUGGGGAAUAUUGGACAAUGGGCGAAAGCCUGAUCCAGCCAUGCCGCGUGUGUGAAGAAGGUCUUCAGAUUGUAAAGCACUUUAAGUUGGGAGGAAGGGCAGUAAGUUAAUACCUUGCUGUUUUGACGUUACCAACAGAAUAAGCACCGGCUAACUUCGUG
Molecule: ribosomal RNA, 484 nt
Filed under: uncultured bacterium
Lineage: Bacteria
Description: partial 16S ribosomal RNA
Rfam family: Bacterial small subunit ribosomal RNA
Source: RNAcentral